AAUAAGUGCAGUUUUGCACUAUUCACGUUCAACGUUUGACCGUCCGUCUUAUUUGAAAUUUUUUUAUGAUUAGUAUUUUUAUUGCUAUUAGAUGAUAAAACAUGAAUAGUAUUUUAUGUGUGACUAAAUGUUUUUAAUUUUUUCAUAAAUUUUUCAAAUAAGACGGACAGUCAAACGUUGAACGUGAAUAGUGCAAAACUGCACUUAUU
This 209-nucleotide microRNA precursor is filed under the name Oryza sativa Japonica Group (Japanese rice). RNAcentral describes it as "MIR812 microRNA precursor family". It matches the Rfam family "MIR812 microRNA precursor family". The record is from Rfam by way of RNAcentral. Lineage: Eukaryota; Viridiplantae; Streptophyta; Magnoliopsida; Poales; Poaceae.